RNAcentral lists this ribosomal RNA (448 nucleotides) under uncultured Planctomycetota bacterium. RNAcentral's name for it is "bacterial SSU rRNA". It matches the Rfam family "Bacterial small subunit ribosomal RNA", at positions 217 to 656 of the family's 1533-position model. The record is from RNAcentral. Lineage: Bacteria; Pseudomonadati; Planctomycetota.
GCUUAGAGAGGGGUCAAUGUCCUAUCAGCUAGUUGGUAAGGUAAUGGCUUACCAAGGCUAAGACGGGUAGCCGGCCUGAGAGGGUGGUCGGCCACACUGGGACUGAGACACUGCCCAGACUCCUACGGGAGGCUGCAGUCGAGAAUCUUUCGCAAUGCCCGAAAGGGUGACGAAGCGACGCCGCGUGUGGGAAGAAGGCCUUCGGGUUGUAAACCACUGUCGGGAGUUAAGAAAUGUAAGGGUGUUAAUAGCAUCCUUACUUGACUAAGGCUCCGGAGGAAGCCACGGCUAACUCUGUGCCAGCAGCCGCGGUAAUACAGAGGCGGCAAGCGUUGUUCGGAAUUAUUGGGCGUAAAGAGCACGUAGGCGGCCUUGUAAGUCAGUUGUGAAAGCCUUCUGCUUAACGGAAGAACAGCAGCUGAUACUGCAAGGCUAGAGUGCGGAAGGG